Molecule: ribosomal RNA, 915 nt
Filed under: uncultured archaeon
Lineage: Archaea
Description: SSU rRNA
Rfam family: Archaeal small subunit ribosomal RNA
Source: RNAcentral
UUUCCGGUUGAUCCCGCCGGACCUGACUGCUAUCGGAUUGAUACUAAGCCAUGCGAGUCUUUGCAGUAAUGCAAGGCAGACGGCUCAGUAACACGUAGUCAACUUACCCUAUGGACGAGGAUAAUCUCGGGAAACUGAGCAUAAUACUCGAUAGAUCAUAAUGCCUGGAAUGGUUUAUGGUUAAAAUGAUUCGUCGCCAUAGGAUGGGACUGCGGCCUAUCAGCUUGUUGGUGAGGUAAUGGCCCACCAAGGCGAUUACAGGUACGGGCUCUGAGAGGAGAAGCCCGGAGAUGGGUACUGAGACAAGGACCCAGGCCCUAUGGGGCGCAGCAGGCGAGAAAACUUUGCAAUGUGCGAAAGCACGACAAGGUUAAUCCGAGUGAUUUCUGCUAAAGAAAUCUUUUGCAAGUCAUAAAACCACUAGUGAAUAAGGGGUGGGCAAGUUCUGGUGUCAGCCGCCGCGGUAAAACCAGCACCUCAAGUGGUCAGGAGGAUUAUUGGGCCUAAAGCAUCCGUAGCCGGCUCUGUAAGUUUUCGGUUAAAUCCAUGUGCUCAACGCAUGGGCCGCCGAAAAUACUGCAUAGCUAGGGAGUGGGAGAGGUAGACGGUACUCAGUAGGAAGGGGUAAAAUCCUUUGAUCUAUUGAUGACCACCUGUGGCGAAGGCGGUCUACCAGAACACGUUCGACGGUGAGGGAUGAAAGCUGGGGGAGCAAACCGGAUUAGAUACCCGGGUAGUCCCAGCUGUAAACGAUGCAGACUCGAUGAUGCAUUGGCAUAUAGCCAGUGCAGUGUCGCAGGGAAGCCGUUAAGUCUGCCGCCUGGGAAGUACGUACGCAAGUAUGAAACUUAAAGGAAUUGGCGGGGGAGCACCACAAGGGGUGAAGCCUGCGGUUCAAUUGGAGUCAACGCCGGG